AAACGACUCUCGGCAACGGAUAUCCCGGCUCUCGCAUCGAUGAAGAACGUAGCGAAAUGCGAUACUUGGUGUGAAUUGCAGAAUCCCGUGAACCAUCGAGUCUUUGAACGCAAGUUGCGCCCGAAGCCUCGGCUAAGGGCACGUCUGCCUGGGUGUCACGU
RNAcentral lists this ribosomal RNA (161 nucleotides) under Daucosma laciniata. Its description in RNAcentral is "5.8S ribosomal RNA". It matches the Rfam family "5.8S ribosomal RNA". From Rfam's summary of the family: 5.8S ribosomal RNA (5.8S rRNA) is a component of the large subunit of the eukaryotic ribosome. It is transcribed by RNA polymerase I as part of the 45S precursor that also contains 18S and 28S rRNA. Functionally, it is thought that 5.8S rRNA may be involved in ribosome translocation. RNAcentral also lists the same sequence under 2 other names. Lineage: Eukaryota; Viridiplantae; Streptophyta; Magnoliopsida; Apiales; Apiaceae. The record is from RNAcentral.